RNAcentral lists this long non-coding RNA (7511 nucleotides) under Elaeis guineensis (African oil palm). RNAcentral describes it as "long non-coding RNA (EGUI_LNC048799)". Lineage: Eukaryota; Viridiplantae; Streptophyta; Magnoliopsida; Arecales; Arecaceae. The record is from RNAcentral.
GCUGGAUCCGAUCUGAGGAAGAACAGGAAAAAGCGAUCAGGUAUAACUUAUUCCUUUGUCGUUUAUGAUUUUAGAUCUAUGUAAUUAAUUUAUUUAUGCAUGUUAGACGAUCCUAGGAUUAAUUUAGAUUGGGAAUCUGCAUAUUUAGAUCAGAUUAAAAUUUUAAGUCUGCUUUCACUAUGGUUAGUGUAAUCAUAUCGAUCUAUGCAUGCGAAUUAACCUGCUUUCUAACAGUGGUAUCAGAGCCGGGUUGUUCUAGCAUGUUUUAAAUAAAUUUUAGAUCUGAAAUUGUAUUUAUAUGAUCUGAUUUAUAGUUCAUAUAUUGAUAUGUGAAAGAAAAUCUGAUUUAAAUUUAAUAGAUUAUAUAUUAGAUAUGUUAGAUUAAAUUCCUGUUAGCCUGGUACUUGGAAUGGGUGCAUCACCAUGGCCGUCCAGACAUAAGAGUAAGCAGGGGUUAAAGUUCCUCACUUGCCCAAUUGAUGGGUUCUCUUAUGACGCAUAGGGGUGCUGUUUGUGAUAAUCUCCCAUGAAGAAGAACCGCGAAUGGAAGAUCCUAGAUGUAUGUGAUACAAGUUUUAGAUUCAGAUUUUGUUUGCAUGCAUAUUAGAUGUGUUUUUAAUUAAUUUUAGAUCAUAAAAUUAUAUAUGUGAUAUGUAGUUUUUAUACAUGAUCUGAAAUUUAAUUUAUGCAAAAUCCUAGAUCUAAAAUCCUAGGAUCUAAUUUGCAUAAAUCCUAAAAUUGUGGCUAGCUUGCCUGUCGAGUCUACUCGGAUUCAGUUUGAGUCAACUCGAGUCCUUGGCGAGUCGACUUAUCUUUGUUGGAGUUGACUCGAGAUCCUAGUGAGUUGGCUCAUUUGCGUAUGAGUCGACUCAAUCCUGUAGGUGUGGGCUUACAGUUUUUGUUUGUCACAGGCGAGUCGACCCGAGUUCUAAGAUGAGUUGACUCGAGUUUGUUGACAACAAAAUUGCAUGUGAUGCAAUCCAAAUUAGUUUAGAUUAGAAAUUGAUUUGACAUCUAAACUAAAUUCAUAUUCAUAAUGCACUUAAUUAAGAAUUAAGACUUGAAGUUAAAAGAUCUAAAAUUAUGAAUGUAAGAUCCAAAUUUCAAUUGCAUAAAACAUGGGGUUAAGGAUGUGGGUAGCUCAAUUAGGUCUAGCUUGAGCAAUUGAUCAAACCGAUUCAAAUGUUGAUUAGGAUUAGAUCAAAUAUGCUCAUGAUCAACCCAAUUAGUAGUAAUUUGGUCGAAUCAAUUAACAACGACAUGUUAUCAAUCAAUUUAAGAUCUAAUUUGGCUCAAUGGUUCCAGCCUGGGUCAAUAGACUAAUUUGAUCGAUUCUAAUCCAUCAAUUUGAUGUCUAAGGCAAGUACAUAGAUGGUGGUUAUUUAAUUGAUUCUGUUGUCUGAUCUGACCAAUUCAUUGGUGUCUAAAGAAAGCAAGGGGGGACCCCUACUCAUCUUAAUUUAUCUGACUAUUUUGGAAGAUUAUAUUUUGUAUUAGGUUACUUAUUGGCUCGAGCUAGUCCAUGCUACUAGGUUAGUCAUAACCGUUAUGACUAAUUAAGAAAGAGACCUGAAUCUAAAUCUCUUCAAUCAAAUAUUAAGUCUAGUUGUUUUUCAUCAUUGUAGAGAUACGGGCGCCUUCCUGAUGUUGAUCGUUCUCGGUUGGUCACAGUGAUUUGAUUGCAUCGGGAAGGCACAACCACUCUAUGGCAUUGGAUGCUCCGGGGUAGAGAUGGGGUUGGGCCCAAUAACUGUUAGGUGAGGGAUCUAAUGACAGCUUUACAUCUACUGGUGUACGGUGGGUCUGACUUAAUUAAGAAAUGUAUCAAUAACUGUUAGAUGAGGCCACAGAAUUUAGAAACCAAACCUGCUGCAUCUUGCUUAGUGAAGCAAUGGACAAGGUGUUGUCCACUCAUUGGUCUGUACGUCACCAAUAACUUUUAGAUGAGGUGCGUAUGGAUCAGUGGGAGUGCAGUAUCCACUAGAAACUAAUCGUAUAUAGGUUUUUAUUUCUCCAUUCGAGGAGUGCGGGAGAUUCGUAGAAAUAGUGAGAGCUCUUUGUUUGUUUAUUAAAGUCCCUAUAACAAAUAUUUACAAGUACAAACAUCUAAUUGAAAAUUAUUUCUCUCUGUAGUUAAUUAACUAUGUUGAGUUCAAACCCUCUAGUCUGAAUCUUUGACAUCAAUAGGUUGACCGGAUUAAACUACAAAGACUGGCUUCGGAACUUGAGAAUUGUUCUUAGCUCUGAGAAAUUGACCCAUGUCCUAGACCAGGAGAUGCUUGUGUUGUCGGCUCGCCCAUCUCCUGUUCAAUGAGCUGCACUUGACAAGUGGAUGGACGAAGACAACAGGAUUAGGUGUUAUAUUUUUGCAUCUAUGUCCAAUGAUCUUCAACGCCAACAUGAAGACAUGAGGACUGUCAGACAGAUUUUGAUUCACCUACAAGAGUUGUAUGGUAAGCAGAGUCGCACGACUCGCUUUGAGAUCUUAUGAAGAUUUUUUAGAGCGAGGAUGCGUGAUGGACAGCCUGUGCACAAUCAUUGUCUGACAAUGAUCAAAGACAUUGAAGUACUUCAGAAGCUCAGAAUGAAUAUGGACAAGGAACUGCAGGUGGAUCUGAUCAUGUAGUCCCUUCUUGAUUGGUACGGGCAGUUCAUAAUAAACUAUCAUAUGAAUAAGAUUGAUGGCACCUUGUCCAAGUUGUUGAAUAUGUUGGUGACAGCUGAGGGCGCCUUGAAAAGUUCAAGGAGAACGGUUCUUACUGUGGAGCAGGCUUCUUCAAGAGAAAAUCUACUAGAAAGAAGAACAAAAAGCCUGUGAAAAAAUUAAAGAUCGAGAGUGAGAAGGAAAAAAAUUUUGAAGGCGGCCAACGAUAAAGAAAAAUAUUUUCACUGCAAUGUCGAAGGCCAUUGGAGAAGAAAUUGUUCUGUAUACCUAGCAACAGUGAAGAAUAAGAAGGACGCUCUUUCUGAAGGUAUGUCUGAAUUACUCAUAAUUGAAAUUAAUCUAACGGUUUCCUCUUCUUCUGGUUGGAUUUUAGAUUCUAGUUCAAGUGCUCAUUUGUGCACUUUUCUGUUGAAUCUAAAGGAAGUUAGGGGACUGAGAGAAGGUGAGAUCAUUCUCAGGGUUAGCAAUGGGGCAAGAGUUGCUGCAGUGGUCGUCGGGAUCUACUCUCUUAAGCUACUAUUAGGAUUUAGUUUGCUUUUGAAAAAUUAUUUUUUUGUACCUGUAGUCAGUAGGAAUUUGAUUUCCGUUUCUGUGCUAGCACAGAAUUAUUACAAUUUUUAUUUUAAUAAGAUUUGUAUUCAAUUUAUUUUGGAAAUAAAAUUAUUGCAGUUGCUUAUUUGAUAGACGGUCUUUAUCAUUUUUUGCAUAUGGAUGCGAGUGUUAACGUUAACGAGCAAAUUGUAAGUACCGUAGGAUCUAAGAGAUUUAGAGAUGGGAUUAGCCAAAAAUAUCUAUGGCAUCUUAGGCUAGAUCAUAUUGGAGAGGAUAGAUUUAACAAAUUGAAGAAAGAUGGCCUUCUUGGGCCAUUGACUUUCGAGUCAUAUCCAGUUUCUGAAUCAUGUCUUUAAGGAAAGAUGGCUAAGCUACCAUUUGUAGGACAAGGGGAAAAGGCCAUUGAUAUAUUAGCCCUGGUGCACACUGACGUGUGUGGUCCAUUUGAUGUAUAGACCAGAGGUGGUUAUAUCUACUUCAUAAUCUUUACUGAUGAUUACUCGCGGUAUGAUUUUGUGUAUUUGAUGCAUCAUAAGUCUGAAGCCUUUGAAAAGUUCAAAGAGUUCAGAUAUGAAGUGAAGAAAUAAACUAAAAAAUUCAUAAAGGUUUUUCGAUCUGAUCGGAGAGGGGAAUAUCUUAGUGGAGAAUUUCGGAUCUAUCUUAAGGACAACGGCAUAGUCUCACAGUGGACAUCUUUAGGGACAUCUCAGCUCAAUGGGGUAUCCGAAAGGAGGAAUCGGAUCCUAUUAGAUAUGGUUCGGUCCAUGAUGAGUUUCAUAGAUCUUCCAAUUUUUCUUUGGGGACAUGCAUUGCUUUCUGCCAUAUACCUUCUAAAUAGGAUUCUCUCUAAAUCCAUUCCUAUCAUACCAUAUGAGCUAUGGUAUGGUCAGAAGUCGAGUUUUGGUUAUCUUAAGCUUUGGAGAUGUUCGAUCUAUAUCAGGCGAUAGCAGACGGACAAAUUAGAGGCUAGGUCACUUAGGGUUCGUUUUAUAGGAUAUCGUAAGGAAUCCAUGGGAUACUAUUUUUAUCUUUCAGAGGAUCGCAAUGUGAUUGUGAGCCGUCGUGUCGUCUUUUUGAAAAAGAGUUUAUCCAAGAUGGAGACAGUGGGAGAAAGAUUGUGCUCGAAGAAAAGGUCUCUGAAAAGCAUCGAGUCCACGAACCUGAAUCCAUUAGUGAGCCAGUUGAUGUGGUACCUCCACCUCGUAGAUCAAGUAGGAUCUCCUAUCCUUCUGAAAGGGACUUAGGUAUUCUUAUAGAGGAUCUAGAAGAAGCGUUCUUUGUGGGAGAUAAGAACAUUAGAAAUAAUCUCAAGACCUAUGAUGAAGCGAUGUUAGAUAUAGACUUCGAAAAAUGAAAGCGAUGAAGUCAGAAAUCAACUCCAUACAUUCCAACAACAUUUGGAUCUUAGUAAAUCCAUCUAAAGGUAUUGUACCUAUUGGAUGUAAAUGGAUCUAUGAAACGAAAAUUGGAUAGGAUUGUCAGGUAGAGAUUUAUAAGACAAGGCUGGUAGUGAAAAGAUAUAGUCAACGCGAAGGCAUUGAUCAUCAGAAAAUUUUUUUACCAGUGGUCAUGCUGAAAUCCAUCCAAAUUUUGCUUGCUGUUGCAGCUUAUUACGAUUACGAAAUAUGGUAGAUGGACAUGAAAACUACUUUCCUAAAUGGAUAUCUUGAGGAAGAUAUCUAUAUGGAGUAGUCUAUGGGUUUCACAUCCAGUGAUAGUGAUCACAAAAUCUACAAGCUGCAAAAGUCCAUUUAUGGAUUCAAGCAAGCAUCUUGGAGUUGGAACGUCCACUUUAAUGAUGUGAUCAAAUCGUUUAAUUUCAUCAGAAACAAGGAGCCGUGUGUGUACAAAAAGAUCAGUGAAAGUGCUGUCACGUUCCUCAUAUUGUACGUAGAUGACAUCCUCUUGAUUGAAAAUGAUAUUCCCAUACUGACUUCAAUCAAAGUAUGGUUGUCAAAGGAAUUCUCCAUGAAAGAUCUAGAAGAAGCUUCCUACAUUCUUGGUGUAAAGGUCUAUAGGGAUAGAUCUAAGAGAAUGAUGGGACUUUCUCAAAAAAUGUACAUGGAGGAGUGCUGAAGAGGUUCAGUAUGAAAAAUUCGAAGAGAGAUUUUUUACCUCUUAGGCAUGGCAUCUACCUCUCCAAGAAGAUGUGUCCUGAUACAUCUGAGGAGAUUCAACGCAUGAGCAAGAUCCCUUACGCUUUGGUUAUAUAGAGCCUUAUAUAGGUUAUGCUGUGUACUCAAUCUGAUAUAACACUUGCUAUAAGUGUCACGAGCAGAUAUCAGUCGAAUCCAGAUGAGGAGCUCUGGAUUAUAGUUAAGAACAUCCUUAAGUACUUGAGAAGGAUUAAAGAUUUGUUGUUGAUCUUUAGUGAAGGAUCGAAGCUGAAAAUGGAGGAUAUUCCAAUUUAGAUUUUAUGUCUAAUAUCGAUGAUAGAAAGUCUACGAUGGGGUGUAUUUUUCUAUGUAAUGGCGGAUCGAUUAGUUGGAAGAGUUUCAAAUAGUUGGUUAUUACAGAUUUGAUCAUGGAAGCUGAAUAUAUCGCCGCCUCUGAAGCUGUUAAGAAAGCAUACUGGUUCAAGAAGUUUAUUGCGGAGCUGGAUGUGAUGUUAUCGGAUGUCAUUGCACUGCACUGCAAUAAUAAUGGCGCCAUAGCACUCGCUAAGGAGCUCAGAUCCACCAGAAAUCCAAGUAUAUAGAGCGGUGGUUCCACAUCAUACGUGACUAUCACGAGAAGAAGUUCGUCGAGGUGUAGAGAGUCGACUCCGCACAGAACGUGGCGGACCCGCUGAUGAAGCCUCUUAGCCAGCAGAAGAUUGAAGCUCACCUUGAGAAGAUGGGUCUUAGGUAUAUGGUCAAUUGACUUUAGGUCAGGUGGGAGUUUAUUAGAUGUGUGCCGUAGAAGUUAAUUGUUGGCUGACACAUUUAUAAUUCUAGAGCCUAUUUUUGUACUUGUAAAAUUUUUAUUAUUAAUAAAGGAUAUUUUAUUUUCAAUCAUGUUUAUGUGUCCAUGAUUUGUCCUNNNNNNNNNNNNNNNNNNNNUUGAGACAUACAUUAUUAGUGGUUAGUUUUAAAUAUCAAUUGGAUUGAUGAUUUGAAUAAAUUUGUAAGUGUUACAGAUUAAGUAACUACUAAUUGUUAGCAUAGGAACUUAAUUGCAAAUGUUGUAAUUUAAUUGGGGUUGAUUAAAUUAUGUAUCAAGUCAUAAUUAAUUUAAAUCAGAUUUAAUUUAAUUGUGUUUGAUUUAUUUUAAUGCGAAUUGGGUUCAAUUAUCCAAAUCAGAUUCGGAUUUCAAUCCUGAUUAGGUCAAGUUUGACAACCUUUCGAAUUCGAUUCGAUUUGGGCUCAAUUUGAACUCGAUUUGGAUCUAAUUUGAAUCAAAUUGAUGCUGACCUUUUAAGCCCAGAUUUUUUGGGCUUCUCUCCCCACUUUGGCUGAAGAAAGGAUGGGGCGGUGAUUUUCUCUCUGGUUCUUGUGCGCGCGCGUAGGGAGAUAGGGAUAAGGCGCCAUUUGGUUUCUUGAUUAGUUAGGACUUCCUAUCUUGAUUAGGGAUAAGCCUAAUUAAUCCAAUUGAAUUCCUAUCAAGUUUUGGCGUGGGAAAGGAGGAGAUUUUGUGCGACAAAAUAUAAAAGGGGGCAUAAAGGCGUGAGGAUUAGAUUCCUUGUGUUGUGCACUAACAAUAUUGCCGCCCCCUUCCUCCACGCCCACCACCUUUUGUUCCCUUCCUUCCACGCUCCAGUACCUCCUCCUCUAGAUCUGAUCUGAGAGAUUAGGGAGGCCUUAGAGAGAGAGAAAAAAAAUCAAGAAAGGGUUCUUGAUUUUUCUUGGUUGUUGGAUCAAUCCUCAUAAAUCUGCAACAAGGUUGCUUCAAGUGAUAUUAAGUAAAGGGUCCUAAUCCAAGCUGAAGAACGAAGCCUGCAAGGGAGCUAGCACCUCGGGGGUUUCGGAGGUCUGAUCGGGACAUCUCUGUGUGGAUACCAGUAGAGGCGGGGCACGUGCGCGGCUACAACAGGAACCUUAGACAUCCACAGGAUCUGAUUCGAGGAAGAACAGGAAAAAGCGAUCAGAUAUAAUUUAUUCUUUUGUCGUUUAUGAUUUCAGAUUUAUGCAAUUAAUUUAUUUAUACAAGUUAGACGAUCCUAAGGUUGAUUAAGAUUGGGAAUCUGCAUGUUUAGAUCAGAUUAAAAUUUUAAAGUCUGCUUCCGCUGUGGUUAGUGUAAUCGUAUCGAUCUAUGCAUACAAAUCAACCUGCUUUCUAACAGUACUAUUCUCUGAUCCAUACCUCAUUUGGGCCC